AUUCGAUCCGACUCAGAUCCAAUAUAUCUGAUAACCUCGGGGUUGGCUGAUGAAUCCUCUCUCUCACCAUUGAAAAUUCUAUCCACUAAGGCAACCCUCCAAUCAUAGGGCUUUCCUCCGUGAUGAGGAUUUUUUGUGAUAUGUUCAUGAGAUGGUGCGACCACAUGAUUGCUUUGAAAAUUUGUGCUUAAAUUGACAAGUCAGAGGAACAACUAGCAGCAAAACAAGG
RNAcentral lists this long non-coding RNA (229 nucleotides) under Elaeis guineensis (African oil palm). RNAcentral's name for it is "long non-coding RNA (EGUI_LNC021632)". Lineage: Eukaryota; Viridiplantae; Streptophyta; Magnoliopsida; Arecales; Arecaceae. The record is from RNAcentral.